UCUCCGUUGGUGAACCAGCGGAGGGAUCAUUACUGGAAUCGCAAGAUCCCACAACCCUGUGAACCUACCGAAACGUUGCCUCGGCGGGCGCCCGGCCUCUGCGCCGGGCGCUGCGCCCGCCGGCGGCCCCCUACUCUGUCUCUGCAGCGUGGCAUCUCAGAGUCCCAGAAAACAAGUCAAAACUUUCAACAACGGAUCUCUUGGCUCUA
This 209-nucleotide unclassified non-coding RNA is filed under the name plant metagenome. RNAcentral describes it as "partial contains small subunit ribosomal RNA, internal transcribed spacer 1, and 5.8S ribosomal RNA". The record is from RNAcentral.